This 109-nucleotide ribosomal RNA is filed under the name Salmonella enterica subsp. enterica serovar Kentucky. RNAcentral's name for it is "partial 23S ribosomal RNA". It matches the Rfam family "Bacterial large subunit ribosomal RNA", at positions 2176 to 2284 of the family's 2925-position model. Lineage: Bacteria; Pseudomonadati; Pseudomonadota; Gammaproteobacteria; Enterobacterales; Enterobacteriaceae. The record is from RNAcentral.
CUGCAUGGAGCCGACCUUGAAAUACCACCCUUUAAUGUUUGAUGUUCUAACGUGGACCCGUAAUCCGGGUUGCGGACAGUGUCUGGUGGGUAGUUUGACUGGGGCGGUC